GUAAUCUCUUAAAAGACAUCUAAUGAGAUUGGAAUGAUAAAGAGUAGAUCAGCAUGGCCCUUGCACAAGUAUGACACACCCUACUAGUAGCAGCAAUUUUGUCUU
Molecule: small nuclear RNA, 105 nt
Filed under: Amborella trichopoda
Lineage: Eukaryota; Viridiplantae; Streptophyta; Magnoliopsida; Amborellales; Amborellaceae
Source: RNAcentral